This 676-nucleotide long non-coding RNA is filed under the name Homo sapiens (human). Its description in RNAcentral is "non-protein coding lnc-HIST1H2AG-6:3". Lineage: Eukaryota; Metazoa; Chordata; Mammalia; Primates; Hominidae. The record is from RNAcentral.
GCCCAGAGGUCAGAAGUGAGAUGUAACCAGAGAUCCCAGACCUCCCGGACCAGAUCGUGCCGCAAACGAAAUGCCAGCUCGAGCUCCCACAGCUCUACGGAAGGCCUCCCGGAACUAAAGCGGAGGAGGGUGUCAGCCUCAUCCCGCUGCCAGCUGGCCCUCAGUUCCUCAAAGACAGUGAGUGAGGACGGACCUCAGGCUGUCUCUUCGGGUCACACCCGGUGUGAAAAGGCGGCAGAUACAGCACCAGGGCAGACACUCACCCCCAGGGGUGGCUCCCCGUGAUCCCAGGCCUCUAGGCCCCGCAUCAACAGUGCACUGCACGUUGAGGACAAGGCCAUCUCGGACUGCAGACCCUCACGGCCUUCCCACACUGUCCUCACUUGCAACAGGGGCUUCUGGUGGGCCUCCCGUUUCUAAAGCACCCACUAUGGAUGCACAGCAGGACAGACCCAAGUCCCAAGACUGCCUGGGCCUAGUGGCCCCCCUAGCAUCUGCUGCAGAGGUCCCCUCUACAGCUCCCGUGUCUGGGAAGAAGCACAGACCACCAGGACCCCUGUUCUCCUCCUCAGAUCCCUUUCCUGCCACCUCUUCCCACUCCCGGGACUCAGCCCAGGUCACCUCGCUGAUUCCUGCCCCCUUCCCAGCUGCAAGCAGGGAUGCCGGCAUGAGAAGA